GAAGCGAGCCAGACCGCCGCUGGCACGAGAUCCGAGAGGAUGUGCUGGAGGAAGGUCCGGACUGCGCAGGGCGGCGUAGCAGCUAACGGCUGUCCACCGUGAGGUGAGGAUCAGAGCAACAGAGACGAGUCGGUGCCGCGAGGCAUCGGGUGAAACGGGCAAUCUCUACGCGCAGCAAUACCAAGUAGGCACACGUUGAUCCGGCCCGGAGAGUGUGCGGGUAGGUAGCACCGAGCCGCUGCAGCGAUGCACGGCCCAGAGGAAUGGCGGUCACGGCAGGCCUUCGCAGGAAGACCGGCCGCACAGAAUCCGGCCUAUCGGCUCGCUUCACAC
RNAcentral lists this RNase P RNA (333 nucleotides) under Betaproteobacteria bacterium. RNAcentral's name for it is "RNase P RNA component class A". It matches the Rfam family "Bacterial RNase P class A". From Rfam's summary of the family: Ribonuclease P (RNase P) is a ubiquitous endoribonuclease, found in archaea, bacteria and eukarya as well as chloroplasts and mitochondria. Its best characterised activity is the generation of mature 5'-ends of tRNAs by cleaving the 5'-leader elements of precursor-tRNAs. The record is from RNAcentral. Lineage: Bacteria; Pseudomonadati; Pseudomonadota; Betaproteobacteria.